Molecule: ribosomal RNA, 253 nt
Filed under: uncultured bacterium
Lineage: Bacteria
Description: partial 16S ribosomal RNA
Rfam family: Bacterial small subunit ribosomal RNA
Source: RNAcentral
UACGGAGGGUGCAAGCGUUGCUCGGAAUUAUUGGGCGUAAAGGGUAGGUAGGUGGUCUCAUUUGUCUGAGGUGAAAGCCUUGAGCUUAACUCAAGAAGUGCCUUAGAAACGGUGAGACUGGAGUCUUGGAGAGGGUCGUGGAAUUCCCGGUGUAGCGGUGAAAUGCGUAGAGAUCGGGAGGAACACCAGAGGCGAAAGCGGCGACCUGGACAAGUACUGACACUCAACUACGAAAGCGUGGGGAGCAAACAGG